This 1001-nucleotide ribosomal RNA is filed under the name uncultured euryarchaeote. RNAcentral's name for it is "bacterial SSU rRNA". It matches the Rfam family "Archaeal small subunit ribosomal RNA", at positions 45 to 1053 of the family's 1478-position model. The record is from RNAcentral. Lineage: Archaea; Methanobacteriati; Methanobacteriota.
UAAGCCAUGCGAGUCGAGAGGUGCAAGACCUCGGCAUACUGCUCAGUAACACGUGGACAACCUACCCUAUGGAGAGGGAUAACCCCCGGGAAACUGGGGAUAAUACCCCAUAGACUAUGGAUGCUGGAAUGCUCUGUAGCCAAAAGGUCAGCCGCCAUAGGAUGGGUCUGCGGCCGAUUAGGUUGUUGUUGGGGUAACGGCCCAACAAGCCUGUAAUCGGUACGGGUUGUGGGAGCAAGAGCCCGGAGAUGGAUUUUGAGACACGAAUCCAGGCCCUACGGGGCGCAGCAGGCGCGAAAACUUUACAAUGCGGGAAACCGUGAUAAGGGAACUCCGAGUGCCCGUUAAAUCGGGCUGUCCAUCCGUGUAAAUAACAGGUGAAGAAAGGGCCGGGCAAGACCGGUGCCAGCCGCCGCGGUAAUACCGGCGGCUCGAGUGGUGGCCACUAUUACUGGGCUUAAAGCGUUCGUAGCUGGUUUGUUAAGUCUCUGGGGAAAUCUUCCGGCUUAACCGGAAGGCGUCUCAGGGAUACUGGCAGACUAGGGACCGGAAGAGGUGAGGGGUACUCCAGGGGUAGGAGUGAAAUCCUGUAAUCCUUGGGGGACCACCUGUGGCGAAGGCGCCUCACCAGAACGGCUCCGACAGUGAGGGACGAAAGCUGGGGGAGCAAACCGGAUUAGAUACCCGGGUAGUCCCAGCCGUAAACGAUGUGCGUUAGGUGUAUCGGUGACCACGAGUCACCGAGGUGCCGAAGAGAAAUCGUGAAACGUACCGCCUGGGAAGUACGGUCGCAAGGCUGAAACUUAAAGGAAUUGGCGGGGGAGCACCACAACAGGUGGAGCCUGCGGUUUAAUCGGACUCAACGCCGGAAAACUCACCAGAUAAGACAGCUGAAUGAUAGUCGGGCUGAAGACUCUACUUGACUAGCUGAGAGGAGGUGCAUGGCCGUCGUCAGUUCGUACUGUGAAGCAUCCUGUUAAGUCAGGCAACGAGCGAGACCC